AGAAACUUAGGUUAAACCAAACCAGAGGCCUUCAAAGCCUCAAAUAGGGCUCACACCCUAGUUUCUG
Molecule: transfer RNA, 67 nt
Filed under: Eremias scripta (Sand racerunner)
Lineage: Eukaryota; Metazoa; Chordata; Lepidosauria; Squamata; Lacertidae
Also listed under: 1 other name
Description: tRNA-Trp
Source: RNAcentral